GCCAGACUCCUACGGGAGGCAGCAGUGAGGGAUAUUGGGCAAUGGGGGAAACCCUGACCCAGCGACGCCGCGUGAGGGAAGACGGUCUUCGGAUUGUAAACCUCUGUCUUUGGGGACGAAAAAGGACGGUACCCAAGGAGGAAGCUCCGGCUAACUACGUGCCAGCAGCCGCGGUAAUACGUAGGGAGCGAGCGUUGUUCGGAAUGACUGGGCGUAAAGGGUGCGUAGGCGGUGUAGCAAGUUAGAAGUGAAAUACCUAGAGCUUAACUCAGGUGCUGCUUCUAAAACUGCUAUACUUGAGUGCAGUAGAGGAAAGUGGAAUUCCUAGUGUAGCGGUGGAAUGCGUAGAUAUUAGGAGGAACAUCAGUGGCGAAGGCGACUUUCUGGACUGUAACUGACGCUGAGGCACGAAAGUGUGGGGAGCAAACAGGAUUAGAUACCCCGGUA
RNAcentral lists this ribosomal RNA (447 nucleotides) under uncultured bacterium. Its description in RNAcentral is "bacterial SSU rRNA". It matches the Rfam family "Bacterial small subunit ribosomal RNA", at positions 330 to 792 of the family's 1533-position model. The record is from RNAcentral.